UACGGAGGUGGCAAGCGUUACUCGGAUUCAUUGGGUGUAAAGGGCGUGUAGGCGGUUACGUAAGUUGAAUGUGAAAUCCCACGGCUUAACCGUGGAACUGCGUUCAAUACUGCGCGACUUGAGGAUGGGAGAGGAGAAUGGAAUUCCCGGUGUAAGGGUGAAAUCUGUGGAUAUCGGGAGGAACACCAGUGGCGAAGGCGGCUCUCUGGUCUGGCUCUGACGCUGAACUGCGAAAGCUCGGGGAGCAAACAGG
RNAcentral lists this ribosomal RNA (253 nucleotides) under uncultured bacterium. RNAcentral describes it as "partial 16S ribosomal RNA". It matches the Rfam family "Bacterial small subunit ribosomal RNA", at positions 524 to 776 of the family's 1533-position model. The record is from RNAcentral.